GUCAUCAAAAAGAGAAAACAGUAACAUACAAUUACACGACCCAUUUAAGCCUGAUACUGAAGAUUAACUUUAAAAUGUUUUAUGGCUCACUGCUUUUCACGAUAUCACAGAAAUUUAGAUACUGCUUGCCGAGUUAAGGUUAGCUAUAGUUAAGGAACUGUAUAGUAAUAUACGGUAUAUAAUUCGCUGUUUCUUACGUGUUGUGGAAAAUUUGCGCAUUCUCAGUACUUGAGGUAUUUGUCGGAGUUUUAAUCUGUGGAGUCUUUUCAACCGGUACAUUUAAUACUGCCAUUGUUGCUGGUCAGCUGACUGGAGUGAUAUUUUCAAUUCGAAACAAGUCUGCACAUACAUUUACAUAUAUUUAGCAGUUUUAUUACUUUGUAAAUAGUCUGUAGGAUUUGCACACUACCACAACGCUUGUGAUAUAACUAAUUUUAUGUUUCUAAUGGAAUAAGAUAGAUUUGCCGUAAGAUGACCGGGAGAGUCUGAAAGCGUUAGUGUCACGGCACAUGCGUGAGAGUUGGCAGUCCUUUAGCCUUACAGUAGGUCGGUAAUUGGCGCUUAGUUACCAGUCACCCAUUCAAGGAUGGGAAGUUGGCAACACUGACCAGGUCAGGCGAUGGAGCCUUGGAAUAUGCUGGCAGUGUGGGUGCGGGGGCCGCAAGAUUUCAGUCCUGGCUAUUGGUGAACAUCAAUAUGUAGAACCUACUGAAUAAGAAGAAGUGGGGCUUCAGGUCUGGAGACAGGAAGAAGAUCAUGUGGGUAUUGGUGGAGCUGAAGAAGCUGCAACAAAACAGCUUGAAGGAGGUGUGGAGUUGGAUGAGAACUAACACUGGCUACAAGCAGCCUGGAAAUUUUGUAGUGGAAAGGAACAAGGAUAAUGAACUGAAAUCUGUUAAACAGAUUUGACUCUAGCUUGCCAGUCCAGCCCUCUCCCAACACUGCCAGCCUCACUGUGACAACUGCUCCUGCCACAUCUAGUACUUUCACACCUCCCUGCAACUUCCCCACUGAAGACACCACAACCACCCCCCCACCACCCACCUGACUUCCCAGACUAUCUGGUUUGCUGAGCACAUGAGGAAAAUGCUGAGGAAACUAUGCACAGAAGGGGCCCUGGCUCUGUAGAUCUGCUGCCAAAAAAGGGGCAGCACAUCUACCUUGAAGAGCUUCAGACCAGUUACUCUUAUUUCGCAUAUCACAGACUUCUGAGAGACUGGCCCUGAAUCACUUCUGAUCACAGGUCACAGACAACCAGGACCCCCGGAGGUUUCCCUAUGAAUGAUGGUUUUCCAGUCCGCAGUGGCCAGUGUACUUCUGGUUUACUGGGAAAGCGGUAUGAUUUCAGGUGUUGCCAAACACCUGAACAAAGUCAUCUGAAAAGUUAUCUCCAUCACAGGGCAUAAUGUACUGUUUGGUGCAGAGAGUAGGAUGAUGGGAGAACUUGAGGACAUCAUGAACAAUUCCACGCAUCCCCACCAUUGACCAUUCUCUUGAAGCACCAUUAGCCACUGAUCCAUUCCACCACUCUGCCAUCUUUUCUUCUGGCUGCCCUCAGGAACAGUGCCUCCCCACAAUGUUCCAGCCUUUUUAACCAAUGAUUAUCAAAUCCUCUUUCUCAAAGAGGUGAUGAACAAGGUUGGUCUUGGCACCUCCUGCCCCUAGGCCUUUCCUCAAUCAUCCCCAUUUAGAAGUCAUGUCCAUGGACCUGAAAUAAAUGUACACUGCCAUUCAAGAAUUGUACACUGUCAAAUUGAUUAUCAGUAUAUUAAACCUGCUUUUCCUUCUUAUUGUACUAUUGCAUUUAACAGGCACUUAAAGAUUACACAUAAAUUGUACACUAUUAUUUUCUCUGUUUCCUUAAAGCAAUCUGGUAUCUUCAGUAUGCUAUGAGGUACACACUAUGUAUGAUUGUUGCAUUAUUAUUGAUAUUUUGCUGACUCUUGGUGUGCUGUGGCGUAGUUUAAACAGAAGUGUUCUGCUACCUUUCUGAGAUUACUGUAACAAUGCAUUGGCCUGAUUCUCCACCUGCACUUAUGAUGGCUUACUUCUCAUGCCUAUGGCACUUCAAGUACUAAAACAUGGCAACCCUUUCUCCCAGAACCCUUUCCCCAUCUGGCAAUUGGAUGGAUGCAGCUGGAAAUAACAGCUGCUAAACUGUCUGAUAUUUUUUCAUGUCUUGAGUGAAGGAUUUUGGGUGGGUGAAUCCGGAGGAGAAUAAGCAAAACUUAACCUAAGGCUAACCUGAUUCAACAACCCAAAGGGAAAAUACUAAUGGACAGGUUUACAUCAGUUUAGAUUAACUAUCUUAGCAUUGUUGUGGAGCCAAUCCUCAGACUUCGAUAGUUUACACAAGAUUUUUACCGUGGUGUUGUUUUAAACACCCAAAAGAAAAAUGUGCUGAAUGCACUCCUCCUAGCUUUCCAUAUUCUUUGUGUCGUUAAUAUGGUGUUAAGUAGUAAGGUUUUUUCCAUGUUUGGAGUAGGGCUUGUUUUAGCCGUGUGUGUGAUUUCUGAUGCGAGUCAUAAGUUGGUCCACAUCCACCCACCUCUGCACCAUGUGUUCUAACAACAACAACAGCAGCACUGCUACUCUGACAUAGAGGGUCAUGCACAAGCCUACAUGAUCUGUCAGUAGUGCUGGGAGUCCUGGACUUCCAGCAAACUUGGAACAUGCGGUAGGUCAUCCUCCAGGACCAUAGAGCCCAAGGGAAAGGAGGCAACGUGGGAUUAUAUUUCAAUCACAGACAAAACAUCGUUUGCACUAUGACAAAUGUUCAUGUUGUGUUGGCACUUUGAUGACUUCAUAAGAUUUGUAGUUUCUGUGUUCUCUAUGCAGCAUAGUAAUAUUUCUUUGUAUAGCCUGUCACUAUUUGAAACAUUAAAUUGAUCAUGGGUAAGAUCCCAGAAUAUGAUAAA
Long non-coding RNA from Paramormyrops kingsleyae, 2918 nucleotides. RefSeq lists it as uncharacterized. Lineage: Eukaryota; Metazoa; Chordata; Actinopteri; Osteoglossiformes; Mormyridae. The record is from RefSeq and is a predicted model, not a curated record.